RNAcentral lists this ribosomal RNA (543 nucleotides) under Malassezia furfur. Its description in RNAcentral is "eukaryotic LSU rRNA". The stretch from base 212 to 365 matches the Rfam family "5.8S ribosomal RNA". Lineage: Eukaryota; Fungi; Basidiomycota; Malasseziomycetes; Malasseziales; Malasseziaceae. The record is from RNAcentral.
UCAUUAGUGAAAGCAAGGGCCAGCCAUACGGACGGCGCUGCUCGCGUACAACGUCUCUGGCGCCCAACUUUACACAAUAUCCACAAACCCGUGUGCACCGUUUGGAUGAGUUGGGCAAGAGGCUCGGCUCUCCAAUCCAUUUCUACCAAACUCGUAUGGUUGUAUGAACGUGGAAAUCGUUGGACCGUAACUGGCCAACAACCAAUAAUACAACUUUCGACAACGGAUCUCUUGGUUCUCCCAUCGAUGAAGAACGCAGCGAAACGCGAUAGGUAAUGUGAAUUGCAGAAUUCCGUGAAUCAUCGAAUCUUUGAACGCACCUUGCGCUCCAUGGUAUUCCGUGGAGCAUGCCUGUUUGAGUGCCGUGAAUUCUCUCUCCCCAAGCGGUUGCGAUUGCACUGCUUUGGCGGACGAGGUUGGAUGGGUGCUUCUGCCUGUUUCGCAAGAAACAGGCUCGCCCGAAAUGCAUUAGCGCCUUUGGGACACACUCUGCAAACCGCUCUGAAAGGGAGGGCGGCAGAGGGGAUGGAGGAACUCCGCCCG